RNAcentral lists this ribosomal RNA (462 nucleotides) under uncultured Sphingobacteriales bacterium. Its description in RNAcentral is "bacterial SSU rRNA". It matches the Rfam family "Bacterial small subunit ribosomal RNA", at positions 920 to 1382 of the family's 1533-position model. The record is from RNAcentral. Lineage: Bacteria; Pseudomonadati; Bacteroidota; Sphingobacteriia; Sphingobacteriales.
CCCGCACAAGCGGUGGAGCAUGUGGUUUAAUUCGAUGAUACGCGAGGAACCUUACCUGGGCUCGAACGUAAGAUGACUGUAGGUGAAAGCUUACAUCUCUUCGGAGCAUUUUACGAGGUGCUGCAUGGUUGUCGUCAGCUCGUGCCGUGAGGUGUCGGGUUAAGUCCCAUAACGAGCGCAACCCCUACCUUUAGUUGCCAUCAGGUAAUGCUGGGGACUCUAAAGGAACUGCCUACGCAAGUAGUGAGGAAGGCGGGGAUGACGUCAAAUCAGCACGGCCCUUACGUCCAGGGCUACACACGUGCUACAAUGGCCGAUACAGAGGGCAGCUACCUGGUGACAGGAUGCAAAUCUCCAAAGUCGGUCUCAGUUCGGAUCGGAGUCUGCAACCCGACUCCGUGAAGUUGGAUUCGCUAGUAAUCGCGCAUCAGCCAUGGCGCGGUGAAUACGUUCCCGGGCCUU